AUUGAACGCUGGCGGCAGGCCUAACACAUGCAAGUCGAACGAGUGGCGGACGGGUGAGUAAUGUCUGGGAAACUGCCCGAUGGAGGGGGAUAACUACUGGAAACGGUAGCUAAUACCGCCUACCAUCGGAUGUGCCCAGAUGGGAUUAGCUAGUAGGUGGGGUAACGGCUCACCUAGGCGCCGAUCCCUAGCUGGUCUGAGAGGGUGACCAGCAACACUGGAACGGAGACACGGUCCAGACUCCUACGUGAGGCAGCAGUGGGGAAUUUUGGACAAUGGGGGAAACCCUGAGCCAGCCAUCCCGCGUGAGCGAUGAAGGCCUUCGGUUGGUAAAGCACUUUUGGCAGGGAAGCGGUACCUGCAGAAUAAGCACCGGCUAACUACGUGCCAGCCGCCGCGGUAAUAC
RNAcentral lists this ribosomal RNA (406 nucleotides) under uncultured bacterium. RNAcentral describes it as "partial 16S ribosomal RNA". It matches the Rfam family "Bacterial small subunit ribosomal RNA", at positions 30 to 526 of the family's 1533-position model. The record is from RNAcentral.